CUGGCUUACCUCCUCAGUUAUACAUCAAGGAUUGUAUCUUCUUGAUUGUAUUGUGGGUUUCCUGUGUUGAAUUCCAAUAUGAUGGUAUCGUUUUGGCUUAUCGAAGUCCCUUUUCAUCUUGAGACGCCUUUGCGAUUCAGGAUGAACUUUGAAGUUGUCUCUGUAUUCCACUAUGUUGAUGCAAAUGCAUCGACGUUGUGGCAUAUUGAGUGUGGCUUGGUAUCCUGGAUACAGAACAUUAUGUGGGCAUGGGGUCUCUUUUGGCUCUUGUUUUGUCCUUGAUUAGUGUUCUUUGAAACGACAGCCCAUGCACGCCUAGGCUUGUACCUGCGUGAUGAGCUUUGUCAAAAGGAAUGCUACCUGGUUGAUCCUGCCAGUAGUCAUAUGCUUGUCUCAAAGAUUAAGCCAUGCA
Molecule: unclassified non-coding RNA, 412 nt
Filed under: Senecio saxatilis
Lineage: Eukaryota; Viridiplantae; Streptophyta; Magnoliopsida; Asterales; Asteraceae
Description: partial contains external transcribed spacer and 18S ribosomal RNA
Rfam family: Eukaryotic small subunit ribosomal RNA (bases 358-412)
Source: RNAcentral